GAUGAACGCUGGCGGCGUGCUUAACACAUGCAAGUCGAGCGAACAGACGAGGAGCUUGCUCCUCUGUCGUUAGCGGCGGACGGGUGAGUAACACGUGGAUAACCUACCUAUAAGUCUGGUAUCACCUCGGGAAACCGGAGCUAAUACCGGAUAAUAUAUUGCACCGCAUGGUUCAAUGGUGAAAGACGGCUUUGCUGUCACUUAUAGAUGGAUCCGCGCGGCAUUAGCUAGUUGGUAGGGUAACGGCUUACCAAGGCAACGAUGCGUAGCCGACCUGAGAGGGUGGUCGGCCACACUGGAAGUGAGACACGGUCCAGACUCCUGCGGGAGGCAGCAGUAGGGAAUGUUACGCAAUGGGCGAGAGCCUGACGGAGCAGCGCCGCGUGAGUGAUGAAGGUCUUCGGAUCGUAAAACUCUGUUAUUAGGGAAGAACAAAUGUGUAAGUAGCUAUGCACGUCUUGACGGUACCUGAUCAGAAAGCCCCGGCUAACUACGUG
This 497-nucleotide ribosomal RNA is filed under the name uncultured bacterium. Its description in RNAcentral is "partial 16S ribosomal RNA". It matches the Rfam family "Bacterial small subunit ribosomal RNA", at positions 28 to 507 of the family's 1533-position model. The record is from RNAcentral.